GCCAGACAGAGGCAGCCAGGCUGUGUCUCUCAUUGCUGUAAAUGUCUGCUGUGGAUGCUUUAAGAAUCUCUGCUUCAUGCAACCUUCCUAAACAAACUGCGACCUUCAGAGGCAAGAGGGAGAGAAAGAAAUCCAAUGAUUGAAACUGUCACAGAUGCUCAGAGUGGAGAGAAAGCUGAAGGUCAUCUAGUCCAAUGAUAGAGGAUAAAUGAAUA
Long non-coding RNA from Suricata suricatta (meerkat), 215 nucleotides. RefSeq lists it as uncharacterized. The record is from RefSeq and is a predicted model, not a curated record. The transcript has 3 exons. Lineage: Eukaryota; Metazoa; Chordata; Mammalia; Carnivora; Herpestidae.